UAUAGACAUUAGGUAACAGUCAGAAAGAAUACGAUUUAAAGAUAUAUUUUUGUACUGAUGACAACGGAUUUGUUUAGCUGUUCUGCUGCAUAUUAUUUGCAUUUUAGACACUGAACCACCGCAAACAAACAAGAUGAAUCCCAUGCACAUGCUCUGGUCACUCUUACGUUUUUUUCUUAGCGCCAACCGUUCUUUGGAUAGGAAAGUUUCGGUACCGUCAGCAGAACGAAGGCGUGUGGCUUGUUUUAGUGCAGCAGGACAGUCAGAUGUCAUGAUCCCGUUAUCUUGAUCAGGGACUCUGGGAAACUGCCACAAGGAAAUACAAGAGUUGAAUCUGUAUCUCCACUGGUGGUGCUGUUGGAAGGGGAACUUCUUACAGAACCCGAACCCAAAGAUUGAGUCACCGUGGAUGCUCUGUGUUCUGCUGGCGAGCUACAAAGCUGACCGAGGUUGUUC
Long non-coding RNA from Misgurnus anguillicaudatus (oriental weatherfish), 456 nucleotides. RefSeq lists it as uncharacterized. The record is from RefSeq and is a predicted model, not a curated record. Lineage: Eukaryota; Metazoa; Chordata; Actinopteri; Cypriniformes; Cobitidae.